This is a long non-coding RNA of Nymphaea colorata (pocket water lily), 846 nucleotides long. RefSeq lists it as uncharacterized. The transcript has 3 exons. Lineage: Eukaryota; Viridiplantae; Streptophyta; Magnoliopsida; Nymphaeales; Nymphaeaceae. The record is from RefSeq and is a predicted model, not a curated record.
GUUAGUAUGACAAUUUUUUCUUCAUUAAUCGGUCUUGGAGAUUGAAUUCCUUCCCAAAAUCAUGGCAUAUAAAGCCAGGAUCAAGAAAACGAAAGCACAUAAAAACGACAGGAGAAGAAAGGAAAGAAAAAUCCGCCGUCUGUAAUCGAAUCAAUGUCCAACUGGAGGCUGUCUGUUGGUUCUAGAUAAGGAUUGGGCAGGACCCCAAGAACAAAUGCAGAAACAGUUUGCCUGAGGCAACCGCCAUUUAACAGAUUCCCAUGCAGUGCUUAUCCAUGGAACCUAUAUGUAGAGCAUGAUACCUUCGGAGGGCGCUGUUUUAAAAUUUCCAUCGAGGAACGCGGUCAUCCGUCAUGGGACCGAAGGGGAGAUGGUCGGCCAUUGCUGUCCUGCCUCGCCUGCACAAGGCAAACGAAAAGGGCUUGGAGAUUCGUGCAUUCCGUGAGGUGGCUCGUCCGUAGGCAUGAAAGAAGGGAGGAGUCCUCCAUUGCUCGGCCUUGUUAUCAUUUUCUUGCCUUCCCUUCUUGAUGCGGCAGCAGAAGCAAGGAAAGAAGGAAGAGGGGGAGUAUGGCUGGAGGGUAGAAGAUGCGGUGAGGAGGGCGAGUGAAUUGCUGAAAUGCCAGGCGGAGAGAGAGAGAAGCCGCCAUCGCCGGCCUACGGAGCGCGACCGCUUCGUCUUCUCCCUCAUCGUCUCCGGAUCGAUCACGCUAUGAAUGACAUCAGCAGAUAAAACCAACCACAUCGAAUGACUUUUCUGUUUCCUACUUAAAGAGAUUUCUGAUGAUGAUGCUUGAUGCCUCAGCAUCGUAUGGGAGAGAAGAGGGACAAAAGUGUUCUGGUUUUUCG